UCAAAACACGACACAUAGGAUUGUCAGAUCGUCGGUGCUGACCAUUAAUCUCAAAAGCUCGAGCGGUUAGAAACACGCAACUAAUUCACCUAAAACGUACAGAUACAGCACCCACGGAUCUCGAUUGUGACUCAGCUCAAUCAGCCUCACGUAAUUUCGAACGUGACUCGACCCAAUCUGUCCUCCCAUCACCGGACAGGAUGCUGGCACCUUUAAGCCAACAAAGAUAUCCCCCUUCCCCACCCACUUUAGUUAGGGAAAUAUAUUGGACCUGAUUUGCCACAUGGUCUGAUUCGAAAAAUAAUUGUAUCUGAACCUAAUUAAAAUUGUUGAGCAAAUAAUAUAUUUAUUGUCUUAAAUAAAUAUACGAAACUGAUUUUUCAAUAAGU
RNAcentral lists this long non-coding RNA (389 nucleotides) under Ananas comosus (pineapple). RNAcentral describes it as "long non-coding RNA (ACOM_LNC026482)". Lineage: Eukaryota; Viridiplantae; Streptophyta; Magnoliopsida; Poales; Bromeliaceae. The record is from RNAcentral.